UCCCCCAAUGACGAUGUUUAUGAUUCUAAUGGCAGGUCAAUUCUCCAUAGUUUCUUCUUACUAAGAUGGUUCAGUCGAAGGAGGUAACUUUGAUGGAGCUUCAUGUUGUCCUUUUUGAUGCUUCAAGAACCUAUCUAGUCACCCAUGCCGAAUGAACUCUUCAAUUUUAUCUUGUAGUUGGAUACGUUCCUUGAUGUCAUGAUUGUGAUCCCAAUGAUAUAGGCAAUAUUUGUUUGGGUCACAUCAGGUCAGUAGGGCUCACAUCCUCCUUGCUCUUAAUAGCUGUUCUUUUAUCUCCAUC
Molecule: long non-coding RNA, 301 nt
Filed under: Elaeis guineensis (African oil palm)
Lineage: Eukaryota; Viridiplantae; Streptophyta; Magnoliopsida; Arecales; Arecaceae
Description: long non-coding RNA (EGUI_LNC002152)
Source: RNAcentral